Molecule: ribosomal RNA, 293 nt
Filed under: uncultured bacterium
Lineage: Bacteria
Description: partial 16S ribosomal RNA
Rfam family: Bacterial small subunit ribosomal RNA
Source: RNAcentral
UUCCUACGGGGGGCAGCAGUGAGGAAUAUUGGUCAAUGGGCGCGAGCCUGAACCAGCCAAGUCGCGUGAGGGAAGACGGUCCUAUGGAUUGUAAACCUCUUUUGUCGGGGAGCAAAGAGAGUCACGUGUGACUCAUUGAGAGUACCCGAAGAAAAAGCAUCGGCUAACUCCGUGCCAGCAGCCGCGGUAAUACGGAGGAUGCGAGCGUUAUCCGGAUUUAUUGGGUUUAAAGGGUGCGCAGGCGGAAUGUCAAGUCAGCGGUAAAAUUUCGGGGCUCAACCCCGUCGUGCCGU